Molecule: ribosomal RNA, 421 nt
Filed under: uncultured bacterium
Lineage: Bacteria
Description: bacterial SSU rRNA
Rfam family: Bacterial small subunit ribosomal RNA
Source: RNAcentral
UAAGGAAUAUUGCUCAAUGGCCGCAAGGCUGAAGCAGCAACGCCGCGUGAGGGAUGAAGACCUUUUGGUUGUAAACCUCUGUAGGAAGGGAGAAAUUUCCCGCUCUGCGGGAUUUGAUAGUACCUUCAAAGUAAGCCCCGGCUAACUACGUGCCAGCAGCCGCGGUAAUACGUAGGGGGCAAGCGUUGUCCGGAUUUACUGGGUGUAAAGGGUGCUCAGGUGGCUUGGUAAGUCAGAGGUGAAAUUCUAAAGCUUAACUUUGGAACUGCCUUUGAUACUAUCGAGCUUGUGUACGGGAGAGGCUGAUGGAAUUUCAGGUGUAGCAGUGAAAUGCGUAGAUAUCUGAAAGAACACCAGUGGCGAAGGCGGUCAGCUGGCCCGGUACAGACACUAAAGCACGAAAGCGUGGGUAGCAAACAGG